RNAcentral lists this unclassified non-coding RNA (148 nucleotides) under uncultured Basidiomycota. RNAcentral's name for it is "sequence contains ITS1". Lineage: Eukaryota; Fungi; Basidiomycota. The record is from RNAcentral.
GUGAAAUUUUUGUCGCUAGAGCUUGCUCAGCGUCCUUCACAUCCAUAACACCUGUGCACUGUUGGAUGGUAUCAAGGCCUUGUGCUUUGAAACAUCCACCUUACACCUAACAUUGAUGUAACAAAUGUAGUCUUAUUAUAACAUAAUA